RNAcentral lists this ribosomal RNA (318 nucleotides) under uncultured bacterium. RNAcentral describes it as "bacterial SSU rRNA". It matches the Rfam family "Bacterial small subunit ribosomal RNA", at positions 246 to 561 of the family's 1533-position model. The record is from RNAcentral.
UAGUAGGCGGGGUAACGGCCCACCUAGUCUUCGAUGGAUAGGGGUUCUGAGAGGAAGGUCCCCCACAUUGGAACUGAGACACGGUCCAAACUCCUACGGGAGGCAGCAGUGAGGAAUAUUGGUCAAUGGGCGCAGGCCUGAACCAGCCAAGUAGCGUGAAGGAUGACUGCCCUAUGGGUUGUAAACUUCUUUUAUAAAGGAAUAAAGUCGGGUAUGUAUACCCGUUUGCAUGUACUUUAUGAAUAAGGAUCGGCUAACUCCGUGCCAGCAGCCGCGGUAAUACGGAGGAUCCGAGCGUUAUCCGGAUUUAUUGGGUUU